This 470-nucleotide ribosomal RNA is filed under the name uncultured bacterium. RNAcentral describes it as "partial 16S ribosomal RNA". It matches the Rfam family "Bacterial small subunit ribosomal RNA", at positions 28 to 507 of the family's 1533-position model. The record is from RNAcentral.
GACGAACGCUGGCGGCGUGCUUAACACAUGCAAGUCGAACGGUGAACGAGGGAGCUUGCUCCCUCCGGAUCAGUGGCGAACGGGUGAGUAACACGUGAGCAAUCUGCCCCGAACUCUGGGAUAAGCGUUGGAAACGACGUCUAAUACCGGAUACGACGCGGGAGGGCAUCCUCUCCGCGUGGAAAGAACUUCGGUUCGGGAUGAGCUCGCGGCCUAUCAGCUUGUUGGUGAGGUAACGGCUCACCAAGGCGACGACGGGUAGCCGGCCUGAGAGGGUGACCGGCCACACUGGGACUGAGACACGGCCCAGACUCCUACGGGAGGCAGCAGUGGGGAAUAUUGUACAAUGGGCGCAAGCCUGAUGCAGCAACGCCGCGUGAGGGAAGACGGCCUUCGGGUUGUAAACCUCUUUUAGCAGGGAAGAAGCGAAAGUGACGGUACCUGCAGAAAAAGCACCGGCUAACUACGUG